This 503-nucleotide ribosomal RNA is filed under the name uncultured Oscillospiraceae bacterium. RNAcentral's name for it is "partial 16S ribosomal RNA". The record is from RNAcentral. Lineage: Bacteria; Bacillati; Bacillota; Clostridia; Eubacteriales; Oscillospiraceae.
CACGUAGUUAGCCGGAGCUUCCUCCUCUGCUACCGUCAUCAUCUUCACAGAGGACAGAGGUUUACAAUCCGAAAACCGUCUUCCCUCACGCGGCGUUGCUGGUUCAGGGUUUCCCCCAUUGACCAAUAUCCCUCACUGCUGCCUCCCGUAGGAGUCUGGGCCGUGUCUCAGUCCCAAUGUGGCCGUUCAACCUCUCAGUCCGGCUACCGAUCGUCGGCUUGGUGGGCCGUUACCCCGCCAACUACCUAAUCGGACGCGAGCCCAUCUUUCAGCGGAUUGCUCCUUUGAUUAUCAGGCAAUGCUGCCCAAUAAUAUCAUGCGGUAUUAGCGUUCGUUUCCAAACGUUAUCCCCCUCUGAAAGGUAGGUUGCUCACGCGUUACUCACCCGUCCGCCACUAAGCUAAACAAGAUUCAAUAGCAAGCUACGUCCUCAGCAUCUAGCUCCGUUCGACUUGCAUGUGUUAGGCACGCCGCCAGCGUUCGUCCUGAGCCAGGAUCAAACU